AACACUGUUAACCUGCGGUACCUGCGGAAGGAUCAUUAUAGUAUAUGGAAUCUCCAUUCUAUAAACCCACUCUGCGUAUCUUGUAACUGUUGCUUCCAUGGGACUUGGUUCCGCCACACCGGCUUCACGGCUGGUGAGCGCCCAUGGAGGGAGAAACAAAACUCUUCUUUGAAAUGUAGUCAGUCUGAACAAGUUUUUAUAAACGUUAAAACUUUUAACAACGGAUCUCAGAUCGGAAGA
This 240-nucleotide unclassified non-coding RNA is filed under the name soil metagenome. Its description in RNAcentral is "partial contains 5.8S ribosomal RNA, internal transcribed spacer 2, and large subunit ribosomal RNA". The record is from RNAcentral.